This 1514-nucleotide ribosomal RNA is filed under the name uncultured bacterium. RNAcentral describes it as "bacterial SSU rRNA". It matches the Rfam family "Bacterial small subunit ribosomal RNA". The record is from RNAcentral.
GAGUUUGAUCCUGGCUCAGGAUGAACGCUGGCGACGUGGAUAAGGCAUGCAAGUCAAACGGGAAACUUUGCGAUUACAUCAAAAAUUUUCUAGUGGCAAACGAGGUAGUAACACGUGGGUAACAUUCCCUUUAGUCAGGAAUAACUAAUCGAAAGAUUAGCUAAUACUUGAUAGUCUCUUCGGAGUAAAGAUUUAUCGCUAAAGGAUUGGCUCGCGGGAUAUCAGCUAGUUGGUAGUGUAAUGGACUACCAAGGCUAUGACGUCUAGGGGAGCUGAGAGGCUGGCCCCCACCGAUGGAACUGAGACACGGUCCAUACACCUACGGGUGGCUGCAGUCGAGAAUCUUCCGCAAUGGGCGAAAGCCUGACGGAGCGACGUCGCGUGGUUGAUGAAGUCCUUCGGGAUGUAAAGACCUUUUAUGUGGGAGAAAGUUAUUGAUAGUACCACAUGAAUAAGGGGUUGCUAAACUCGUGCCAGCAGCAGCGGUAAUACGAGUGCCCCAAGCGUUAUCCGGAAUUAUUGGGUGUAAAGGGUGCGUAGGUGGUUUUGUUAGUCUUGUGUUAAAACCCGGAGCUUAACUCCGGAUCUGCACAAGAAACGGCAAAACUAGAGGGUGUGAGAGGUCUGUAGAACUCAUGGUGUAGGGGUGAAAUCCGUUGAUAUCAUGGGGAAUACCAAAAGCGAAGGCAGCAGACUGGCACAUUCCUGACAUUGAGGCACGAAAGCGUAGGUAGCGAAUGGGAUUAGAUACCCCAGUAGUCUACGCCCUAAACGAUGUUCAUUUGCUUUUCGGAGUAUCGACCCUCUGAGAGGCGUAGCUAACGCGUUAAAUGAACCACCUGGGUAGUACGAUCGCAAGAUUAAAACUCAAAGGAAUAGACGGGGACUUGCACAAGCAGUGGAUUAUGUGGUUUAAUUCGAUGAUAAACGAAAAACCUCACCAGGGUUUGAAACCUACAUGAAAGCUCCGAGAAACCGGAGCCCUCGCAAGACUAGUAGGCAGGUGCUGCAUGGUCGUCGUCAGUUCGUGGUUUGAAUUGUUCCCUUCAGUGGGGUAACGAACGCAACCCUCGUCGUGUGUUACAAGUGUCACACGAGACUGCCCCCGCUUUAGCUCAUAAGCCGUUGGUGCGCAUUGUAUUUGCCUUGGCAUUUGCAUUGCGUCCCAACGAACAAGCUUCUUUUAUUCUCAGUCUCCACAGCCUAAUUAUCAUUUCGGCAACGAAAUUGAUAAUUAGUGCGAGGACCGGAUGAGAAUAAAAGAAGGUUGUGAGUUGAAGUGGGGGAGGAAGGCGAGGAUGACGCCAGAUCAGCAUGGCCCUCUGAUACCCUGGGCUACACACAUAAUACAAUCGCAGUUACAACGCGACGCAAUGGGGCGACCCGGAGCAAAUCGUCAGAAAAACUGCGCCAGUUCGGAUCGAAGUCUGCAACUCGACUUCGUGAAGCCGGAAUUGCUAGUAAUCGCAGGUCAGCUAUACUGCGGUGAAUACGUUCUCAAGUCUUGUACACAC